This 550-nucleotide ribosomal RNA is filed under the name uncultured bacterium. Its description in RNAcentral is "bacterial SSU rRNA". It matches the Rfam family "Bacterial small subunit ribosomal RNA", at positions 355 to 896 of the family's 1533-position model. The record is from RNAcentral.
UAGGGAAUCUUCGGCAAUGGGGGGAACCCUGACCGAGCAACGCCGCGUGAGUGAAGAAGGUUUUCGGAUCGUAAAGCUCUGUUGUUAAGGAAGAACGAGUGUGAGAAUGGAAAGUUCAUACUGUGACGGUACUUAACCAGAAAGGGACGGCUAACUACGUGCCAGCAGCUGCGGUAAUACGUAGGUCCCGAGCGUUGUCCGGAUUUAUUGGGCGUAAAGCGAGCGCAGGCGGUUAGAAAAGUCUGAAGUGAAAGGCAGUGGCUCAACCAUUGUAGGCUUUGGAAACUGUUUAACUUGAGUGCAGAAGGGGAGAGUGGAAUUCCAUGUGUAGCGGUGAAAUGCGUAGAUAUAUGGAGGAACACCGGUGGCGAAAGCGGCUCUCCGGUCUGUAACUGACGCUGAGGCUCGAAAGCGUGGGGAGCGAACAGGAUUAGAUACCCUGGUAGUCCACGCCGUAAACGAUGAGUGCUAGGUGUUAGGUCCUUUCCGGGACUUAGUGCCGCAGCUAACGCAUUAAGCACUCCGCCUGGGGAGUACGACCGCAAGGUUG